This 402-nucleotide unclassified non-coding RNA is filed under the name uncultured fungus. RNAcentral's name for it is "partial contains small subunit ribosomal RNA, internal transcribed spacer 1, and 5.8S ribosomal RNA". The stretch from base 1 to 73 matches the Rfam family "Eukaryotic small subunit ribosomal RNA", at positions 1759 to 1831 of the family's 1831-position model. Lineage: Eukaryota; Fungi. The record is from RNAcentral.
ACAAACUUGGUCAUUUAGAGGAAGUAAAAGUCGUAACAAGGUUUCCGUAGGUGAACCUGCGGAAGGAUCAUUAUCGAAUUGUUAAAACUUGGUUGUCGCUGGCUCUCUCAUUUAUUUGAGAUUGCAUGUGCACGCCUAGUUCAAACUUUUCAAUUUAACCUCUUGUGCACUUUUGUGGAUUGUGGAUAGAUAAAUUUUGUCAAAGUAACAUUUGGUUUUGGGGAUCGCACUCUGCUUUCUCCUACUAUUUAUUUGUUCAUGAUUCAUGUCUUUUAUAAACCAUUAAUAAUAAACCUAGAAUGCUUUUUUGAGUUAGGGCUUUAGUUUUUUAAACCCUUCUUAAAAUCUUAUAUAACUUUCAACAACGGAUCUCUUGGCUCUCGCAUCGAUGAAGAACGCAGC